This is a long non-coding RNA of Manduca sexta (tobacco hornworm), 2569 nucleotides long. RefSeq lists it as uncharacterized. NCBI's taxonomy places the organism in Eukaryota, Metazoa, Arthropoda, Insecta, Lepidoptera, Sphingidae. The transcript has 3 exons. The record is from RefSeq and is a predicted model, not a curated record.
GUUUAGCUUACCAAUAAGGCGAAUAUUGUCAUGGUGAUUCACUUUGUGAAAACAUUUUGAACACAUCGAUAAGCAGAAAAUGUCGGAUUUUCAUCCCCCAUGCGUUCGUGGAAGUGUAAAUCGAUAUUAUUCACCAAUAAAGAUGGAUAUCACUACAUAUUCUCAUAUACAAGGUCGCAUUUAGUUCAACAUUUCACGUUUCAAGCCAAACAUGACGGAAAUUGAGCAUCGUAAGUGAUUCCAGAGAGGUUAUGUUCGCGACAAACAAAAAUAAAGGCGUUUACCUGAUACAGCUUGCAAUCCGGAGACAAAUAUCACUAUUGUUAUACACAGCUUCAUUCACACUAAAGUAAGAAUAUAAAUACUAGAUAAAAAAUUGGUUUGCAUCACAUAAAUAACAAAAUAAAACGGAAAACAUUGAAAGCGGACAAGAAGCGCGACACGAAACGGCAAGCUAAGCAGCAGCUGACUAUGAGCGGCCGAGUGACGUGACUUUGUAGAGGCGCAUGACUUUCAUGAGAGUAUUCAGGGAAGAAGGAUUAUGAAAAAUUCUACGUUGAGUGAAAUGGCCCUAUCAAAACAAGAACCGUCGUCGGCCGAGCGAUGAAAAAGUGAAGCAAAACAACAAACAACGAGGCCGGCUGUCUGCGGCGUUUCGCGGCCACCUCUGCAAUUUUCACUGUCAUUAUUCAAAGUUUUGAAAAAAGUCAACGGUGGAAAUUAGAAAAAAGGGAUUUUCUCCUCAAUAUGAUCUUGCAAAUCUGCUGAAGUCGGCCGCCUUUAUGCUGAAGUAGCAAACUCUCUAAGAUAAGGGGAGGAGCGGACAAAUUGUAAUAAUUGCGAGACGAGAUAAGAAGUGACACCAGAAAACAAAUGAAGGCGGGCGGCGACGACCCAGUCGGCGAAAACCGGGAGUAGGGGAUGUAUGUGACGUCACCACGCUGCGAACUGCGAGCCUCAUUGUCUCACUCAAUAUAUUCAAAGGCACAUUUAUCUAAUCACAUGUACAUAGCACAUAGAGCGUACACUAAUACCAACGUCGUACUUCGUAUACAAGUAGUUUUGGUUGUGCAAUUUUAUGUUGCUGCUUACGAUGUACUACAGUCUAUUAUUGAAUAUUCUUUCAAGUCACGUUAUCCCGGCCGGAAGCAGGCUCCGUUUUCCUGCACAAUUGUCUACUUUAAAUGAUUUUGCGCAUUCACAGUUCUAUGAACGCAAUGUAUUGAAUUUGGAAAAGUUUAAAAAAAUGUGAAAGUUAUUGUAAUUUAAUAUUAACAACAAAAAAUUAACGUAACAAUAAACAUUUAAGUUGUAAGAAUUUUUAUUAACGAUUAAAAUUUAUUCGUUAAUUUUAUUUGAUAUAGCCACAAAAUGAUUAUUUAGUACAGCGGGUUUAAAUUUAAAGCGAGGGUCCUGGCGAAUCCCUGGGGCACACCUCGCCCGUCGUCACCGCUCGCCAAAUUAAAAUGAUAAAUCAAAAUCCGUCAGCCGGUCGCGUUGAGAAAACAUUAUAAAACGAAUGUUACUAAACUUAUACAAGUUUUGCUCUCAAAUACAUUUUAAAUUUUCCUUGUUUAUUUUAGUUAACUUCGCUGCAAUUCUAUUACAUCAUAAAAAGCUUUUAUUUUUGUACAUAAAUGUUUCUGUGUUUAACCGCAUUUUAUAACGUAACAAAAAGGUUUUAAUGGGUUUCCGACUUUGUUAAUUAAUGUUAUAAUCACAUACGUGUUUCACAUGUGGGUAUAAUGCACUUACUAUGUGAUUUAUAGUAAAUGCAAUUGUCUACUAUCAAAAAUUUCAAUUGAGAAGAUGAGUAUAAUUGGUGCGAUUUAAUUAUUUUAUUUGCCUGCCUGGCAAGAAAUAUAAUGCUGAAAUUAUACUGUAAGAAUUGUAACGCAUAAAAAUGAAAAUCUCAUUUGCGUACGCAGUCGCUUGUUUGAAAAUUAAAGUCGACAAAAAUAUGGACUAUUAAAAUUGUACUGAAGCAGAUACUCUGUGAUAUUUGCUGUUGCAUAAUAUAAAGAAAUAAUGCAAAUGAAAAAAACAACUAUUUAUGUAAGAGCGAGCUCCCUCACAUAUCUUGGUGAAAAAAAUCAAAGCAGUAAAAGUAAUAAAUCUUAUUAAUUUAAAAAUAUUUUAUAAUAUCUUGGAAAUAUUAGGCAAAUGAGAUCUGAAAUACUUCAGCCUAAACAUCAACAGAACACUUUGUAAGUAAUAUAAGUAAUUAAGAUGCGACCGACAUAUAUUCACUUCAAAAGUCAGUUUAUAAAUUAAUGUAGCAGCAACAUAAAUGGAGACACAAAUGAAUGGAUAGAGUGACGUCUGGUCAUCCGCGUAAUUUACUCGUGUAUCCAGCAAGGCAUGUAACCGGCAACUAUCGACGUGUUUGCAAUGAACCACUCAUUAUAAUAUGUACUGAAUUUAAAUAUUUGUGUGAUACAAAUGCGGCAGCGGAACAUGCUAGAACUAAUUGUGCGGUAAAUCGGGAUGAACGGCAAUUUGUCAACUUUCAGCGCGAUAAAUAAACGGUUUCUAUUCAAUGCAAAAUAAACGCAACUCGGUAGCAUCA